GGAGACUGCACUCGCUUCAGCAGUUACCAGCUCUGGUAAUAUCUGUUGAGCAACUGCUCCAUGGCAGGGCUGGGGAGGUGGCCCGUGAACAAAUUGGCCAGGGCAGGUCCCUGCUCCGACCUGUGGUGCUUGCAGUCACCGUCUGGGGAGGGACUGCAAAACCACACAGACAGUACGACAGACGGUGCACCAUGAGGAGAAGGUCUGGCUUCCAUGAACAUGUGCCACAGCGGGAGCAAAGUAAAUGAGAUUGGAGGGGGCCAGGAGGAAAUGACAUUGAAGCUCAGAGGAAGAGAAUUUAACCAGGACUGGACUGUCUUCCGGGGGCGAUCAGAGCAAAGGCGCUAAGAUGACAGGAGCCACUAUGCGUCUGAAGAAGCCAGGCUGGAGUGCAGUGGCAUGGAGAAGGACCCAGGAAAUGGAAGAAAGAAAAAAAGAAAACUCUUCU
Molecule: long non-coding RNA, 448 nt
Filed under: Homo sapiens (human)
Lineage: Eukaryota; Metazoa; Chordata; Mammalia; Primates; Hominidae
Description: HSALNT0275055
Source: RNAcentral